UCCCAGGUGGCUCAGUGGUAAAGCAUCUGCCUGCAAUGCAAGAGCUGCAGGAGACACAGGUUCGAUCCCUGGAUCGGGAA
This 80-nucleotide transfer RNA is filed under the name Ovis aries (sheep). It matches the Rfam family "tRNA". Rfam says of the family: Transfer RNA (tRNA) molecules are approximately 80 nucleotides in length. Their secondary structure includes four short double-helical elements and three loops (D, anti-codon, and T loops). The record is from Rfam by way of RNAcentral. Lineage: Eukaryota; Metazoa; Chordata; Mammalia; Artiodactyla; Bovidae.